Molecule: ribosomal RNA, 200 nt
Filed under: uncultured bacterium
Lineage: Bacteria
Description: partial 16S ribosomal RNA
Rfam family: Bacterial small subunit ribosomal RNA
Source: RNAcentral
AACGAACGCUGGCGGCAGGCUUAACACAUGCAAGUCGAACGCCCCGCAAGGGGAGUGGCAGACGGGUGAGUAACACGUGGGAAUCUACCCAAUUCUUCGGAACAACUGAGGGAAACUUCAGCUAAUACCGAAUGUGCCCUUCGGGGGAAAGAUUUAUCGGAAUUGGAUGAGCCCGCGUUGGAUUAGCUAGUUGGUGGGGU